GCAAGCUGGUCCUAAAAUUGGAAAUUCAAAAUUGCAAAGGACAUAGAAUAGCCAAAUAUUUUUGAGAACAAAUACUUAGACGACUUAAUUUCCAGAUUUUUACUACAAAGCUAUAGUAGUCAAGAUAAUGAUUUUAGAUAUAUAAUUCAAUGGAACAUAAAGACUCCAGAUAGUCACAUAUAUAAUCAAUUUCCACAAAAAUGAUAAUAGGGAAAGGACAGGUUUUUUUUUUUCAACAAAUGGUGCUAUCUGAACUUUUAUGUAAGAGGGAAAUAAAAUUAUCCUUAUAUUAAUACCAUAUAAAACACCCCCCCACAAAAAAAAAGAUUACUUGAAAUGAAAAAUAAACCUAAACAUGAAAUGAGUCUGAGGUGGAAACCAGACAUGUAAAGACAGGGAAUGUUAGAGUAACAAUCAGAGUUGCAUAAGAACCACAACAGGAAAUGCUUGCUCUUCCAGUCAAGCUGACUGUGCAAUCUUAUUUGUGAAAUAUACAGUGAAAUCCAGACUCCCUAUCUUCUUGACAGAUGAAGUGUUUAUAUAGUAAAGUAAGCUGGACAAGAAAUAAGUCAAUUUUUGAGUAAAUAUGAGAAAGUUCACAAAGUGUUAUGUAUUGAUUGUGCUAUUUCCCGAUUUUAUUGUUUUGACAACUUUAAAAGCUUGCUGAUCAGAGAGAGACCAGGCCCAAAGGGUCAAGCUCUCCUCUAGGCCAGGAGCACAUCUUUGAUAUGCAAACCAAGCACUCUGAUGGUCUAUAGCUUCAACCACCUUUAUUUUAGUUUUUUGGUGGUGCUGGGGAUUGAACCCAGGGCCUUGUGCAUGUGAGGCAAGUACACUACCAACUUAGAUAUAUCCCCAGCCCAGCCUCAACCAUCUUAUGGAACUCCCACACACAAGCCAGUAUUUUCCCUGUUUAAUACGAUCCCUGAUCAAGGUACCAGAAAAUGAGUACAUUCCUAUAGUCUGAACUCUAAAUUCUACACAGAAGGGAAAUAUAGUUCACACAUUGCCUCAUCUUUAAUAUGCAUUCUGAGAAAGAUAGCUGCAAUAUGCAAUAACUCCAAGGGAAUUAUGGAAUUAGCCAGUUCUAAACUGUUAUUCACCAAGUCCAGAUGAACCAAUUAUUUCUUUCUUGGGUUCUCUUCCUUGCUAUGUUUCUCCCCAGAAAGGUAAUUAAGCUAGGUUUUCCCUUGGCUCCUGUCUUCUGCCUCCUGACUGGCAUGUGCCAACACCUUCAC
This 1238-nucleotide long non-coding RNA is filed under the name Marmota monax (woodchuck). The record is from RNAcentral. Lineage: Eukaryota; Metazoa; Chordata; Mammalia; Rodentia; Sciuridae.